Molecule: long non-coding RNA, 1207 nt
Filed under: Homo sapiens (human)
Lineage: Eukaryota; Metazoa; Chordata; Mammalia; Primates; Hominidae
Description: HSALNT0078366
Source: RNAcentral
AGAUGAAAUGCGAUAGUGUAAUCAGUAAUCCUUGACAGUGAUGACAAGGAUGUGUGUUCUGCCUGGGAUAAUUUCCAUGAAUUCAAGGGCUGUCAUUGAGUUUGGCCUGGGCAUGACAGCUUCUUCUUGAGGAAGCCAUCGUGUACCCUGAUAUCACCAUUUUCUCUUCCAAGAAACAGCUGAUAUAUUGAACAGAGAUGACUUGUGGAAUAUAGUCAAGAAGUAGCUUAAAUGUUCUCUCCCUCUAUCCUUUUAAAUGUAGUUUGUAAGUUUAGCCUUUUCAUUUCUUUGUGAAAAGUUAGGCAGAUUCCAUGAUGUUUCUGGUCACUGUUGAGUAAUACAGUUUUCUUGUUACUUCAGGUCACAGAAAACUGCCCCAGUUUAGUAAUUUAACUGUCAGAAGCAUGUGUUUGUAAAAACUUUGAUCUUGUGUUAAAGUUGAAGUUUUUUUCCUUUCUGGCAGCUUGAGUCUGCUGUGAGUGGGAAGCCAGAAGUUGAAGUAGGGGUGGAAGAGAUUUAUUACCUAGUCUAAUACUACUUCUACUCCUUCUCCAAUUCACCGGCAGAGUUUUCUGGCUCUUCAAGGAUUGGUGCCAGGAAGGAAGAAGUAAGAAAGGCAGCAAAGAUGUUACUUCACAGCUCCUUGUGAGGUGAUCUAGCAUUUUGGCAGUUGUUUACAGCUGACAACUUGACAGAUGGUCACAGCAGACUCUUUUGUGGGGGCUUUUGUGAAUUUUCUGUAGUUCUCUGUAAGAUCUCAAGCAGGGGUCAGCUUGCUCUUUGCAGUAUGAUCAGUAAAUGUGUCUUCUCUGAAGCAAAUGAUCCCCCUUCUCACUUUGUGGCAUAUCCUAUGAAUUCUAUCCAGUGCCUGAUGAAUGUGUGAUAAUCAAUUGAUGACAGAUAAAGAAACACUGCCAUAAACUGAGUUGGUUAAUCAAUAUAAUGAAAGAGUUUAUACUGAUAGGAUGUAUGGGAUAGAAGAAAGCACACAUCAACACAAUGAUAAAUAAUAUUGAUAUUGCAAGUAGACAGGAAUAGUAAUGAUGGAAUUGAAGUCAUCUGCAAGGGGCUGGUGAUCUGAUUUUCAGCCCAGACCUCCAUGUGGUCUUUGUCACACUGGUGGCAGGAGUCAGAUGGUCUCUUGCAGAAAGAACUGUGAGAGAGUCACCUGUCACAGGCCCUUGCUUUCACUUCUGCACAGUUUCAG